RNAcentral lists this ribosomal RNA (253 nucleotides) under uncultured bacterium. RNAcentral describes it as "partial 16S ribosomal RNA". It matches the Rfam family "Bacterial small subunit ribosomal RNA", at positions 524 to 776 of the family's 1533-position model. The record is from RNAcentral.
UACGUAGGGUGCAAGCGUUAAGCGGAAUUACUGGGCGUAAAGCGUGCGCAGGCGGUGAUGUAAGACAGAUGUGAAAUCCCCGGGCUCAACCUGGGAACUGCAUUUGUGACUGCAUCGCUGGAGUACGGCAGAGGGGGAUGGAAUUCCGCGUGUAGCAGUGAAAUGCGUAGAUAUGCGGAGGAACACCGAUGGCGAAGGCAAUCCCCUGGGCCUGUACUGACGCUCAUGCACGAAAGCGUGGGGAGCAAACAGG